Pieris napi is the source of this 417-nucleotide long non-coding RNA. RefSeq lists it as uncharacterized. The transcript has 3 exons. NCBI's taxonomy places the organism in Eukaryota, Metazoa, Arthropoda, Insecta, Lepidoptera, Pieridae. The record is from RefSeq and is a predicted model, not a curated record.
AGAUUUAAAGCGUCAGAGGUCGCAGUAUAUUGCAUUAAUACUGACGUAUUGGACAGUGAUAACACCUGUUUUGCUAAUAAUUUUAUUUAAUUUAAAAUCAUGAAGACGUCUAUUUUGUUAAUUUUCAUUUGUUUUGUUGCAAGUGUAUAUUCUUUGCCGACUAUUGAAGCAGACGACCUUCAAAAUUAUCAAGACCUGAAAGAGAAUUUAGUGGAUUAUGCAAAUGGUGUCCAAGUAAUGUUGUCUAUGAACACUGUACCAUGCUCAAGAGGAAGGACCAGGGCUCCAUGGGGAAAAUGCAUACUUUGUGGAACAUACUAUAACUUUUUCCACAAAGAAGGAGAGGGCUGUCCACUGUACUGACUACAUAAAGCCGUCAUUUAUACAGUUAGAGCGCAACGAUAAUAUAAAUUUAAU